UGGAGAAUUGGGUGGGGUUUUGCGCAUGUGCAAAAGUUGUUGGGAAAGUGGAGGGGGAGGGUUGAGGGGAGAGAUAUUGACAGUAGUAGCCGCCCGCGUUCCCGGCAUGCCCCGGGGCGGCGGGGUUGGCUCUAACGAAUUUGAAUGAGGAGCCCCUGCGCUUUCGGCGCCAUUUUCGAGUGAUGCCUGAUCGCAUCAAUUUAGCGAGAGAGGCUGGUCACCCUAGUUCGGCUGGAGAACCCUAUGAGAAACCUGCCGAAAAAUAACCAAAAAAUCUUUAAAAAAUUCCUAUAGAUGGAGGCUGUUCGAGGAGCUUCUUUGGGGCUAGCGCCAUCGGUUUUGACCUUACUUAGAGGAGAACUGAUUCUGGAGAACAACUUAACUUCUGUGAUUGAAAAUCCCUAUAUUCUACCUGAAAAGAGAUAAGAAAAUUAAGGUUCUAACAAGUUAAGAUAGGCUGUACUGGUAUUAUGUGAUAACAAUUUGUUAGCUUCAUUUGAAGAAGCAUUCUUGACACAUCCCCUGAAGAAUGGAAAAAUGGGCUGGAGAAUGAUUAUUAAGAGAAGGUUGUAUGACUGGUUAUUCAAAGAAAGAAAAGGACUUUACCGUUCUGAAUACAUGCCACCACUAUUCAUGGGUGGGAAAGACUUGGUAGGAGUUUUUUAUCCAGUGUGUAAUGCUUGGUCAUUAGCAUCACCAGAACAUCAG
Molecule: long non-coding RNA, 708 nt
Filed under: Sarcophilus harrisii (Tasmanian devil)
Lineage: Eukaryota; Metazoa; Chordata; Mammalia; Dasyuromorphia; Dasyuridae
Description: lncRNA (ENSSHAG00000027980.1)
Source: RNAcentral